GGCGCCAUCGUCUAGUGGUCAGGACGCCGGAUUUUCAUUCCGGAAACAGGGGUUCAAUUCCCCUUGGCGCUGCCA
RNAcentral lists this transfer RNA (75 nucleotides) under Chlamydiia bacterium. RNAcentral describes it as "tRNA-Glu". It matches the Rfam family "tRNA". From Rfam's summary of the family: Transfer RNA (tRNA) molecules are approximately 80 nucleotides in length. Their secondary structure includes four short double-helical elements and three loops (D, anti-codon, and T loops). Further hydrogen bonds mediate the characteristic L-shaped molecular structure. tRNAs have two regions of fundamental functional importance: the anti-codon, which is responsible for specific mRNA codon recognition, and the 3' end, to which the tRNAs corresponding amino acid is attached (by aminoacyl-tRNA synthetases). tRNAs cope with the degeneracy of the genetic code in two manners: having more than one tRNA (with a specific anti-codon) for a particular amino acid; and 'wobble' base-pairing, i.e. permitting non-standard base-pairing at the 3rd anti-codon position. The record is from RNAcentral. Lineage: Bacteria; Pseudomonadati; Chlamydiota; Chlamydiia.